UACAGGGUCAUGCCUACAAAACACUUGUGUGAUCUGGGGAAACAAACUCAUUUCCACAUUAGAAGUUCAACUUACUGGGGUGCUUCUCUCAGCCCCUUCUGAAGCUGCGGUGGAGAGCAGCCAUGCAGGAAGGCCCCGGUGCCCUAUUUCGGUGUGAACUGUGUCUCCCAUCCCCACAUUUCCAGCAUCCUGAAUUUCCAUAUGGGACUUCUGUUUGAAGAAAGAAUCUCGUUGGAUUAGGUGAGAAAAGGAGAAGGAGAAGAAGACGAUGAUGAGGAAGAAGAAAAAAAACUACAACAAAAUUUCAAAACACAUUAAUCAGGCGGCAACAAUGUUGUUCACUAGAACAUUAUUUAUGAUGCCAAAAAGUAUGAAACAAACUGAAUGGCCAACCAUGAAGCAAUGAUCAGGAACAUAAAGGAGCCAUUUCCGAGGUGGAGUCUGGACUGAUUUGCACUGGAACAUCUCCAUGGCAAAGGGUUGAAAAUUCAAGGAGAAAAAUCCGAGGGGAGAGAUGAUGACAACAAUGAUGAGGAUGGUGAUAAAAAGGCCAAUUAGAGAGUAGAAAGGGGACAUACAGGAAAGGUUUGAAAGGCCUGGAGGACUUCUUGGGCUGAAGAGAACUCGCCUGGCAGCUUCAUCAGCCGUCUUUAGGCACACAGUCCGUCAGCGACUGGCUUGUCACUCCAUCUCCUCUGUCUCCCUAACUGGUUUCCUCAAAAUAUUCUCUUCAAAGAAAGCAGACACCUGCAGGAUGUGACGCUGGUGUAGCAGAAGAGCACGCUGGUUAUGGAGGACACAGCAGUGGUGAGAACCUACAGCCUCCACCCACACCUGUCUGUAGGUCCCUCACACAGUCCCCAAACCUGGGCACUAUUCUGUGAUCAGACACUUGCUCCAGAUUACUAGUUAGAAACAACCUACAAAUGGAUUUAUUUACAUUAACAGUCUCACACGAAAAUAAAGCAUGCCCCCCCCUUUUAAUUUGUGUUUUGCAGCACUGGGAUGGAACCCAGGGUCUCAUGUAUGCUGGGCAAGUGCUCUAUCACUGAGUACACUCCCUAAAAUGUGACUUUUAGAGGCAAAAUCUUCCUGCAGGAAAAAUAAACUUCCUCAGAGUCCAAAUUGGUUUAUGUGUCUAGGUUCAUUAGAAAAGUGUUGACUAAAGAAGCAGGCACACCAAUGUUUGCUCUUCAAAUAAUGAGCAGGGAUACAGCAGGUCUUUUCUUAGAGUCUGCUCUUAGCCGUCAAGACGUGCCCCACUCUUACUCUUCUGUGGCACUCUGUACCAGAAUUAAAGAGCGUAAGACAGACACUGUUGUCUUUCUAGCAGCCUACAUGCAGAAUGACGCCCACAGUUCCAACAGACACGUCACACAGGCCAUGUGUAAGUGUGUGUGCUCAGCAGGGAUAUCCACAAAGCCUCUGCAGGACAAACCUGCAGCAGAGAAUGAAAGGGAAUAAAGGGUAGCUGAGAUUCUCUGACCUCCAUUAGAGCCGAGGAGAAAGAUGCAAGUGAGAGAAAUCCUUGUUUUAGGGUUCCUUGUCUGCAUCAUGGGGGCAAAGCGCAUGGAGGAAAGCAAGAACAGAUAAACACACCAAGACCUUUAAUGUCUAUUUUAAAUUUUUUCUCUCUAUUGUAUCCUUCAUGGGAGCAGCAGAAGACUCGUUCUUUCUAAGUAAUCACAUUUGGCUUUUACUUCUUUUCCUCAUUUGCCAAUGAAGGCUCCGACUCACAGUAAUGAGGUAACUGAGAGUGAGACAGAGCAGGGAGCAAUAAGAAAAAGGCAGAGGCCAACAUAAAGCAGGUCCAGAGUUGUCAGACCCUAAAUGGGUGAGCUGGCAGGGUUUCCUGGGUCAGCCGUCUGCAGCUGCUACCUACAGUACAUGCUGAGCACCUUCUGCUCAAAGGAGUCAAAACAAAUGUUGAUUAUUUUGCUAUAUGUAACUAUCACUGUUCUUUUCUUAAACAGAACUGCCCCUGAGAAUUCACACAAGUCCCAAUGUAGAGGCCACAAAUGCUUGCUCUCAUAAAGGAUCUGUGAGUACAGAAGCAACAGAUCAGAUGUCCCUCCUUCCCCACACCCCCUGGGGACCCACACCGCCCACGUGGAGUCUGGAGAACUAGGUCUAGCUGAGCUGCCGUUCUGUGUGGUGACUGCCAGAGGGAAAAAUGCCUCCCUCAGCUCAGUCCCACUGUCCUGAGAGAGCUGGCAAAGUCACUGAGACUUGCUUUCUUUUCUCCACAGCUGGACCAAACCAACCACUGGGGUUUUUCAUGUUGUCACAGGAUCAUAAUUAAUCAGCAGACACAGGCAAAAUACAUGACUUUGGAAUUUACUUGUAAAGAAAACUGUGAAAUUUUCAAACGCUUCUCAUUUAGGAGUGAUCACUUCAAAAAUAACUCCUGAUGGAUGUUUAAACUUAGUCCUAUAUUUGCUCACCUUGCUUGGCAAAAACAAGACUGUUUUUGAAACGCUUGGUAGCUCUGGUUUAUGAAAAUCAGCCUACAGGUCCAUCAAUUCUGUCAUCUUGGUCACAAACCAAACAAUUGUGAUCCUGGUUAUUUACCAGGAAUGAAUGGAAAGUGAUCUGUUUACGCAGGACAACUGGAAAGGGAGGUGACUUAGAAGAAUCUGGUGAAAAUAAGCAAGUAGAAGAGAGAGAGCUACAUAAAUGAAUAACAGGUCAGAGAAGUCAAGGGAAAAAUGGGACCGGGAAAGAGAGAGAGGAGACAAGCCAGGGCAAGAGGAGGAAAGUUUUUAACUAAAUCUAUGAAACAGGCUGGUGUUUUAAAAAAUAUUUUUCUUUCAGAAAAUAAAUUAAAAUAUUUGAAUAUCCAACCACCUCAUAUGACAUUUAAAGUAUUAGGUUCAAGAAAAACGCGGCCAUCCUUUGGUGUGAGGUCCAGGCCGGAGGCCAGGCUUCUGGAACUAGGAUGCGCGGUCAGUCCUCAUGCUCACAGAAGCUCCUGGGAAGGGUCAUUUGUCCUUCAGCUCUAAAGGCGGCCAGAGGCAAGGCAAUGCCUUUCUUUUUCCCAGGCUGAAGUUCUGAUGCAGAUUCUGGGCUAGGGACAGGGGUGGGUGUAGGCCUGGGAUAAUUCGCAAACAGACUUUAACACAGAGAUCCCCAAAGCUGCCAGACCGCAGGGCAGUGGUGUUGAAUCUAUGGCCUGCCGAGCCAAGGUCUGACAAAUUAUAAGCACAGAUACAACAGGCAAGAUCAUGUUAACUGUGCAAAAGCACACCUCGUGCUAACAUUCACCUUUCAAUAAAAAGCUGUUUGUAUCACUGAAA
Molecule: long non-coding RNA, 3296 nt
Organism: Cavia porcellus (domestic guinea pig)
Lineage: Eukaryota; Metazoa; Chordata; Mammalia; Rodentia; Caviidae
Exons: 6
Source: RefSeq, a predicted model, not a curated record